This 467-nucleotide ribosomal RNA is filed under the name uncultured bacterium. Its description in RNAcentral is "partial 16S ribosomal RNA". It matches the Rfam family "Bacterial small subunit ribosomal RNA", at positions 28 to 507 of the family's 1533-position model. The record is from RNAcentral.
GACGAACGCUGGCGGCGUGCUUAACACAUGCAAGUCGAACGGAAAGGCUCCAGCUUGCUGGAGUACUCGAGUGGCGAACGGGUGAGUAACAAGUGGGUAAUCUGCCCUGCACUCUGGGAUAAGCCUGGGAAACUGGGUCUAAUACUGGAUAUGACCUUUCUCCUUAUGGGGUUUGGUGGAAAGUUUUUCGGUGUAGGAUGAGCCCGCGGCCUAUCAGCUUGUUGGUGGGGUGAUGGCCUACCAAGGCGACGACGGGUAGCCGGCCUGAGAGGGUGAUCGGCCACAUUGGGACUGAGAUACGGCCCAGACUCCUACGGGAGGCAGCAGUGGGGAAUAUUGCACAAUGGGCGGAAGCCUGAUGCAGCGACGCCGCGUGAGGGAUGACGGCCUUCGGGUUGUAAACCUCUUUCAGCAGGGACGAAGCGUAAGUGACGGUACCUGCAGAAGAAGCACCGGCUAACUAUGUG